This 3682-nucleotide long non-coding RNA is filed under the name Sus scrofa (pig). RNAcentral's name for it is "lncRNA (ENSSSCG00025014408.1)". Lineage: Eukaryota; Metazoa; Chordata; Mammalia; Artiodactyla; Suidae. The record is from RNAcentral.
GGGGGAGCCGGGGCAGGAAGUGCAAACGCGGCUGGGAACGGAGAACGGGUCCGCCGGAUGCAGCCCUCGCUGCACACACUCGCUCCCCAAUGCGGUCAUCCCCGCGCUUCCCCGAAACCAACCGCAACCGGGAGGAACUCCCCAGCGCCCAGCGCACCCGCCCCGCCUCGGGCUGACCUUGGGAGGCCCCCGGAGCGCACCCUCCUCCUCGGGCGUCCGUCCUGCGCCGCACAGAAAGCCCUCCAAAGGCGUGGGCCGAGGGCAUCCUACCUGCUCGUGGCAAGGGGGCUGAAGUCCGUCGUCUGAGGUCCCCCCCAUCCAGCCCCUUGGCCGAGGUGUUGCGGCGGGGGGCUUCCUCCUGCCCGCUCCUCCCUCCUUCGGAGAUGGCCUGACUGCCCCCUGCCGGGCCCUGGAGAAGCAGAGGGAAAAGAUGGUCCUUGCCUUCAGGCGGUUUGCAUCCCAGAAAAUUGUUUCCUGCUUAUUUUCGUUUUAACUGUACUGAAUUUCAAAAAUUCGACAAAGCCAUAUUACAUGGAAUAAUUCAGUCUCGUUUCCACGCACCAACUGUUAAGAAUAACGGAUUCGUGCAAAUUUGAUUUGCAACAAGGUAGCGCUAGGUUGGAUUAAAGAAGAUUUAAAGGCAUGGGAGCUGCAGUGAUGCAGAGAGUCCUGGAAACAGAAGGCCUCCUCCCCGUGGACGUGGACGAAAGGCUGCCCCUCCAGGGAUCACCAGUUCUCCCCAUCUGCAGGGAAGAAUUCUCCAAAUCCCCAGUUCCAACGGGCCCCGAGUGUAUCAGGCGGUUCUUUCUAAACUGGAAGUGCUUGGUCCUUGACCAGCCGACAGGGGAAAAAAAUCUCUUACUCCAUAUUGAUAGCAUGCCAGAGGACCAGCUGGGUAGUAAUUUCCAGGUGCAUGAAAAACGUCUCUGUUCCUACUUCACCGCCUGCAGAGACGAAGAUCCCCAAAGAGGGCAUCACUGUCACUGGGAAGCAGGAGUCCCUUUGUCCUAAGGCUACCUCUGUGCUCAGUAUGUGUGGGGCUUUGCUUCUACUGUGGCUCAUCAGCAUGUGGUUUUUCAACAAGGCUUUAAAAUGCAGCUCCCCAGUCUCUUCAGAUAUAAACUCAUGGGAGAGACUGGCUGGGAUGGUGCCCACAUUCCAGCCCCACAUGUGUCAGGUUGGUGAAGUGGAAGGAGUCUCUUCUUCUGAAUCAGCUCCAUCCUGGGGGCAUGCUUUAUGCUGUCUGCUGCUUUGGACUCUGCUCUGCUCGAAUGAACUGCUUGUGGUUCUACAAGCUGGAUUUAACUCUCAGCCUCUGCACACAGUGCACAGAAGACGCUUUUGCUUCCUCAUCUGAUUCUCCUUAUUCUCGAAGCCCUGUUCCUCCUUACAGGGUCCUGUUUCCUAAUUUUCUGAGACUGGAUGAGGUGACCUUCAGUGUGCUGCCUUUGUACCUUGCAUGCUCUCCCUGCUACCAUAGCGCCUCUCAUAGAGUUGUGGCAUCGAAAUUACCCAUGUACUUUAGUCUCUCCUACGGUCCCUUGAUCUUGAGUAUUUGGUCACCGUCAUAUACCUUUGGUUCUUUGUGCAGAACUCACCGUAUCAAAAUCUCAUGUUGGCUGAAUAAAUAAAUCCAGGAAUUGCCGUUCAAUUCGCCAUGUCUUCACAUCAUUCCCUGCUCUCCCAGGGUUCUCAGAACACUGGACAAGGUUGAAGAAUUAGUGCAGAAGGGACUCCCUGAAGCUGAAAGGACAAGCCUGCUCCUCCGAACCUGAGCGGCUGAAACACAUGUGCUCUGUGGCCUCUAACUUCCUCCCGUGGCAAUUGCAAGGAAUUAAGCUAUUGCCACGGGCUCACAGACUAAUAAUGGGGCUUAAAACGGUAAAGUAAUUACCAGAAUCAUGAAAGCUCCUCCUGGUUCCACCACAGGUUUUUAAAAAAUGUGUUCAGUGUGCUUCUGCUGAAAUGAAAUCGGGCUUUUUCUGAGAACCCGUAUCUCACUUAACAUGAUGCCCACAGGGUGACGGCCUGGUGGAACCUGCACGCUGUCCACUGAACCAUGAGACAGCAGCUCUGCAGCCAGUCUUGAUGUCUCAGCUCUGCUUCCUGAAUGGGGGGGGGUGAGGUAAUUCUUAGACACCUUGCAGUUUCUCCAACCAGCACUGCAAUGAGAAGUCCUACAGCUGAGCCAGUCCCGAAGCCCGUUGGGAUCCCCUAGAGAAACGUGCUGCAGACAGCAUGUCUGGAUGGUCUGGAAAGGGACGAGGGGCAGGGAAAAGCUCUGUCCAUCUGCCUAGCACGAGGACCGGCAAAUGGAAUGUGAAGCACUCAGCACGCGAGAGCCGACGUGGAACUAGUGCUCUUUGUACAUCAGGAAGGGAACAAGGGUGAGUCGGAGGACAAGUUAUCCGAUGAGGUGGAACUAGUGCUCUUUGUACAUCAGGAAGGGAACAAGGGUGAGUCGGAGGACAAGAAAGCCGAGUCAGAGGACAAGUUAUCCAGUUUGAAGUUCAAGCAUAAUUUGUUACAGCUGCCAUACACUCCAAGAAAAGGCUCCAGGUAAAAGGCCUCCCACAUACUUGAAAACUAAUAAACAAUAUGGACUCAUUGAAGGAAGAACGAUCGAUUUCAAGUACCUUUUCAACAAUUUUUUGGAAGUCAAGAUCACAACCAUUCUUGCUUGUGUGGUUUUGAUACACUAGCAGCUUGGCCAGUUCUAGAAUUCUCUCCCUGCUUCCUCAGAUUUAGUCUACAGCUUGCCUCCCUGAGGUUGUCUUUCUCACCUGUCAGCCCCGUCUCAAAUAGCCCUCAAUCGGUGUAUCUCUUAAGGGAACACUUGAGUGUUGAAAUAGAGAUUGGGGGCAGGUAAUUGUUAGAAAUGCAAAGAACAAUAGAGGAGACCUCUCUCCAAGAAUAGAGCAAAGGGCUCAAGGAAACUCGAAGAGCUGGCAAGAGUGUCAGGUAGACUCCUGCAUCCUCCUCCUUCUCCGAUUAAAUUCUUCCACAUGCAUGUACCUUGAACAAGAAGAUAAGAGCCUUUAACCAAGUCUCUGCCCCCGGGGGAGGGUCCCUCUGUGCACAGCAAAGAUCAUCGCAAGGUCGGUGCCAUGGAAUUCUGCGGCAGGGACAGGACCCUCUCUCUGGGGCGAGAAGCAGGACCGCAGGUUCUAGCCCUGGGCCGUGCACAGCUGGCAGGGUGUCUGGUCCUGCUCUCUUCACCCCAGCUGUCACAUACUUCCACACGAAUGACUUCAUCAUUUCUGCCAACUUUCAUGUCAAUUAACCAACUCCUUGUUGUUAGUUCAGAAAAGAAUACUUGCUCUAAAUCGCCAACUCUUAAAGGGAUGGUUCCAGAUGAGGGCACAUCACAUGCUGGUUAGUGACCCCAGGGGUUUAAACUGGAGGCACCCUGGGUGUACGCCAAGCACGCUGCUUUUUCCCAAAUGCUUUAAAGUAAAUUACCCCAUGGAUAAUAUAAUGACCUGUCUUCCUGUUUGCCCACCAGGCGAAAACGCUGGAUGCUGUAACUGUACAAACGUGUCUGGUCUCUGUCCAGACCAGAGGGAUGAGAACACUGCCUCAUUCCAAGUCGUCUUUCCACCUGACCACCUUAAUAUAACUGCCUGUCUGUACACAGUUGAACACUAAAGUAUGCCAUCAUUGCUUAUUAAAUGCCUGUCUC